GACGAACCGUGCGACCGUUGUUCGGAAUCACUGGGCUUAAAGGGUGCGUAGGCGGGCUCGCCAGUCUGUGGUGAAAGCCCCCGGCUUAACCGGGGAAGUGCCGUGGAUACUGCGAGUCUUGAGGAGGGUAGGGGCAUCUGGAACGCUGGGUGGAGCGGUGAAAUGCGUUGAUAUCCAGCGGAACUCCGGUGGCGAAGGCGAGGUGCUGGACCCUUUCUGACGCUGAACCACGAAAGCCAGGGGAGCAAACGGG
RNAcentral lists this ribosomal RNA (253 nucleotides) under uncultured bacterium. RNAcentral's name for it is "partial 16S ribosomal RNA". It matches the Rfam family "Bacterial small subunit ribosomal RNA", at positions 524 to 776 of the family's 1533-position model. The record is from RNAcentral.